Hydra vulgaris (swiftwater hydra) is the source of this 4463-nucleotide non-coding RNA. The record is from RefSeq and is a predicted model, not a curated record. NCBI's taxonomy places the organism in Eukaryota, Metazoa, Cnidaria, Hydrozoa, Anthoathecata, Hydridae.
UGAUUUUUAUCUUAUUUUAUAUUUUGGUUAUCAUUUAUCUUUUCAGUAACUAAUUACCUUUAAAAAAGUUACUUAAUAGUAAAAUGCCACCAAAAAAGUAGUUGAAGCUUAGUCAAAAUAAGGCUGAAGUAUUUCUGGUAAAGAAAGUUAGAGAAAAUCUUUCAUGUUCUAAACUUCCUACUGGUAUUGAGGUUUUGCAAUACUACCUAUAUCUAAGAAACUUGAAUCCCAAAGUAAAGAAAACAGUUUAGGUGUCAUUUCAAAAUUAAUUCAUUUGAGCUCAGAUGCCCUCCACAAGCUGACUAUUAUGUAAUGUCUAAAUUGGUAAGAUCAUGGAAUCUUGCAGGAUUACCUAUCAUAACCUUUGAAAAUAUCAGGUAAAUUCUGAAUUCAAAAUUUAUCGACAAAUUUAUUUUUAUCUUUAUUAUAAAUAUUGAAUAAAUUUUGCAUUUUAAAGAAAGAAGAUUGAUAAAAUGGUGAACAACUAUUACAAGUUAAAGAAGAAUAACAAAAGGGACGGGCCAACAGAUACAAAAAGGAAUGAAGAAUUUUUUGAAGAAAUGUUAAAAUUCUUUUGGAUUAGUAAAAAAAAGAAGAACUUAUUGAAGAUAUUAUGAAAGACAGGACCACAAAAAGUUGUGUUCCAUGUUAAACAUGGAAAUUAAACUAAACAAUGGUAGCAAUCUAUAAGGUUUAGACUCUUCAAGUAGUGAUAAUAAUUCUGACUGUGAAUAUGUAGCAGAUAUUAAAAAAGGAUCUAAAAAUCUACCUCUGUUGUUUUGUUACCAAAAAAUAUUUAAAAAAAAACCAGCUCUCACCGCAAUAGGUGAGGGAGUUUCAAUUAGGCAACACACUGCAAUAGUGGCAAGUGUUAUUGCUAAUUCAGGAGGUGAUGUUACUAAUUUUGCAAUAUCUUCUUCAACUGCGUUUAGAGUUGCAGAGGAAGUUGUAACUAAAGAAGGAGAAAAGAUUAAAAAACACAUUACUGAUCUACAUCACCAAUUAUUCUCCAGAGUGAGCUUCUUGGGAUUCCUCAUUUGAACUCUUGUACCAGAGAAACACAGAAGAAUACAAUCAUAAAACUUUUUCAUCAAUUUAAUAUUUUAGAUAAAUUACAAGAAUGCAUUUUUGAUACAACUUCUAUAAAUACUGGUAAUAAAAAGGGUGUGUGCAUUAGAUUAGCUGCAGAGCUUGAUAGACCUCUACUUCUGCUAGCAUGUAGACAUCACAUCUAUGAAAGGUAUAAUACUCACUGUUGGAACAUUUAUCCAAGUAGUAGAACAAUUGGCCCAGAUAAUCCAUUGUUUAAGAAGCUUAAAGAAUGGAACUCAAUGGUCAAAAUUCCAGCUUAAAGUAUGGAACUCAAUUGAUCAAAAUUCCAUUGUGUUAAACAAAAUAAAAAUUAAAGAUAUUUCUGAUAGCUGGCUGCAGGUACAGUUUAAGGAAGCCUUAUCUUUUUCUCAAAAUAUUAUCAGAAUGAAAACAAUGAAAAAAGUAUUUAAAGUUUUGAAUAAAUUGAAUAUCUGUAAUAAAUUAAGUUAAGUAAGCUACUGUUUUGUCUCUAAAUAAAUAGUCUUAUUUGGAUGGAUGUAGGUCUGAUUAUCUAGAGUUAAUUGAAUUGACAGCAAUAGUUUUAUCUGGUGAUGAACAUUACAGGCUAAGAAAAACCUGGGCCUGUACACCAUGCCAGUUUUAUGGCAAAAGGAAUAUACUUUCUGAAAAUGUAUCUCUUUCUAGACAACAUUUCUAGCUUGACAGAUUUCAAGAAGAAAUAAAUAAAUGAUAUGGCAUUUUUCACAGCUGUAUUUUACAAUGAGUGGUUUAUAAAGGCUGAAAUUCUGGCUGUUGCUCCAUAUUAUAUUUCUAUGUUUUAAACGUUUUUAAUCUUUUUGGUUUUUAUUACUUUUUUUUCUUUGAAAAUUUUGUGUAAUAUUUAAUAGUCUAAAAAUCUUUAGGAUAUGUAAGCUCUUGGUGGCAAAUGGUGAGAUACUCAAAAAUCAAAUCUGUCCAAGCAAAACCUGUUAUAGAGUCUCUCAAGAGACACACCUGAUACAUAGACCCAAUUAUUUUAGUUAUGUCUCUUGUUGACAAAAAUGUUCAUAAACUGGGUGACAUUGUCAAGAAGUUGUACUCCUCAAGAUCUACAACUUAUGCCAUAGAGAGACAUCAAGUUAAUUUAAGUAUACUGAACUCCCUUAUGUUUAAUGAUAAUAAUCCCCCAAAUUUGACCCUGCUUCUAACUGACCAGAGUUGGUUAAUUUUUCAUAUUUUAAACCAUGCAAAUGCUGAAGUACAGUGGCUUAAGGCUCCAUCUGAGACAUGGGAUCUAAAUGACUUUUACCUAGAAUUCAAAAAAAUUUGUGAAUAAUCUUGAAUUAGUUAAUGACUGUAGUGAGAGUGCUAUAAAACUAGUUCAAGUAUCUAUUUUUUAUGUUUAAUCUUUACUGUUUAUUUUAAAAGUCUCAUUUUAUUUCACAAGCUCAUUACUUUUAAAUAUUCUUUAAUAGGAGUUGAUCAAUAAAUCGCACUAUGAGGAUAAAAGACAAAAUACCUUCCUAUAAGAGUAAACAAACAGUUAAAAAAAAAAACUGUUUACGUAAAGAAUUCUUUGUUUACAAAAUAAAUUUAUAAACAACUAUAUUAGACAACUAAUUACUUCAGAAACUAAUCAUAAAUAUGAUUUUAUUAUGUAAAUAUAAAUAUUUUAAUAUAUAAAGUAUCUUGUUAACAAGCAGAACACUAAUAUAGUGCAAAAAAGCUUUAAAAUUCUUUAAAUAACUUUUUUUAAAUUUUUUGAUCUUGAAAUUGUUUAAGUUAUAAAAAAAAAAAUUAAGCCUAACAUUCUAUUUUUAUUUUCUUCAAAAAGAUAAAACAACAAAAAAAAGAAAUAAAAAUUAAUUUGGAUAAUGGUGACACUCCCCUCAAUUAGUCCGAAGUGUGGGCAAAAAAUGACCUUUGGACCCAUUGAGCGAAGUCAUGGAGUGAUCUAUUCAUGAAAAAAAAAAAAAAAAUGUAAAUAAACACUCUAGAAUUGCUGUUUCCAUCAGGAUCGAUGGGCAGACAGAGCUUCUUGGUAUUCCUCAUUUAAACUCUUGCACUGGAGAAACACAGAAAAAUGCAAUCAACUUCUUCAUCAAUUUUGUAUUUCUGAUAAAUUGCAAGGAUGCGUUUUUGAUACCACUUAUGUAAAUACUGGUAACAAAAAAGGUGUGUGCAUUAGGUUAGCCGCAGAACUUGACAGACCUCUACUUCUCAGCUUGUAGACAUCACAUCUAUGAGAGGCAUAUUAUUCACUGCUGGAACAUUUGUCCAAGCAGUAAAACAAAUGGUCCAGAUAAUCCUUUGUUUAAGAAACUCAAAGAAGUUUGGAACUCAAUAAAUCAAAAUGCCAUUGUGCUAAAAAAAGUAAAAAUUGAAGAUAUUUCUGAAAGGUGGCUACAGAAACAAAUCAAGGAAGCCUUAUCUUUUUCUCAAAAUAUUAUCAGGAUGAAAACAAUGAAAAAGGAUGGAUGUAGGUGUGAUUAUCUGGAGUUAGCAGAGUUAACAACAAUGGUUUUAUCUGGAGGUGAACAGUACAGAAUAAGAAACCCUGGGCCUGUUCAUCAUGCCAGAUUUAUGUCAAAGGGAAUAUACUUUCUGAAAAUGUAUCUCCUUCUAGACAACAUUCCUAGCUUGACAGAUUUUGAGAGGAAAGAAGUAAACGAUAUGGUAUUUUUCACAGCUGUAUUUUACACUGAGUAGUUUAUAAGAGCUGAAAUCCCAGCCAUUGCUCCAUAUCAGGAUAUGAAAGCUCUUUGGCAAAUGAUGAUAUACUCAAAAUUCAAUCUUGACCAGGCAAAUCCUGUUAUUGAAUCUCUGAAGAGACACACCUGGUACAUAGACCCAUUUAUUGUUGUUAUGUUUCUUGCUGACAAAAAUGUACAAGAGUGGAGUGACAUUGCCAAGAAGCUGUACUCUACCCCAAGGCCUACAACUUAUGCCAAAGAAAAACAAAAAGUUGAUUUGAAUUUAUUAAACUCCCUUGUGUAUAGUGAUGAUACUCCCCUAGUCUGACCCCACUUAUAACUGACCAGAGUUGGUUAAUUUUUUAUAUGCUAAACUAUGCAAAUGCUGAGGUACAAUGGCUUAAGACUCCGAUUGAGACAUGGGAUCUAAAUGACUAUUUCCUAAAAUUUAAACAAUUUGUGAAUAAUCUUGAGGUAGUAAAUGACUGCAAUGAGAGGGCUAAAAAACUAGUUCAGGAAUUAAUCAAUAAAUCACACAGUGAGGAAAAAAGACAAAAUACCUUCCUUGUAUCAAACAAAUAUAAGAGCGGAAGAAGAAUUAAAAAAAAAGCUGAUUAUGCAAAGAACACUUUUACUUAAAAAUAAAUUUAUAAGUUAUCAAAAAUUACUUCAGAAACAUUAUAAAUAUAAGUUUAAAAUAUUUCAAUAUGUAAAGUUUCUUUAGCAAACAGAAUAAAA